This 927-nucleotide long non-coding RNA is filed under the name Ursus maritimus (polar bear). RNAcentral's name for it is "lncRNA (ENSUMAG00000022861.1)". The record is from RNAcentral. Lineage: Eukaryota; Metazoa; Chordata; Mammalia; Carnivora; Ursidae.
CAUCUCCCAGCCAGGCUGGGGCCUGGGCCUGCCAUUCCUGAGAAGAUUUCUCCUUUGAAUCGGCAGGGAGCCGGGCUUAGCUGCCCGUUCUGUUGUGGGAGGAGGAAGCAGGGGCUGCUGACCCAGCUUUGGUCUAGCCAAGGCCCCAGCAGAGGAGGGCUCUGUUUGGUGUGGCCAGUGGGCAUCCAUGUCUCUGAAUCAGGUGACUUGGGUAUUGGUUUGUGUCCCUGUCUGCCACUUUCUGGCUGUGUGCCUUUGAGCAACUUCACGUCUCUGACCUCAGGGUCUUCUGGAAAACAGCUAAUGCCUGCCCCGGGGGUGAGGAUUCAAAUUAAGUGAGCGGUGCCUGGCCCUUGGAAAGCUCCCUGAGCCACAGCAAAGUUGGUGGGUUGCUCCUUGAUCCUGUAAUGAUGCGGGAUCAGUAAGCAAGGGGCGACCUCUUCCUGGCAGACCCCGUGUCUUGGUAUCAGGGCUGACAGGGACCGACACCCAUCCAGAAGCCCCAAGUGUCCCAUGGCCAGGGUCCUCAUCUACAUCGAUUGGACUGAGGGUUGACCUCUGGGCCUCACAGGCCUGGGCUCUCCCAGGCCAUCCCAGCUUGUCCCCGGCACAAAGAGAUCAAGGCCUUGUGGACAACCCCACCAUCCUCCUGUAUCCAUCCAUCCAACGGGGCCUGGGGACUUCAAGGGAACAAGAAAGUCCAGAGAGAGCGCCAACAGACGCUUGGUGGUCGGGGAUUGGCUGGUGUCCUUGGCUGAUUUCCGGGAAGAGCUGCAAAUUCCUAACCCAUCUGAUCGAACAGGCCAGACUGCUGGCUAUGGUGUGGACCAAGGACGCUGUCGCCUUGGCUUUGCCCUGGAGCCCAUGGAGCUGAGACCUGAUGCCAGCCACAAGGAGAAUGUGCCCCCCAGGCCUGUGACACCCCUG